ACUUUAUUUGAAUCAUAUCUUAGGUCAUGAUUGGUUAGGAAUUGGAGUACGAGCCUAAGUUUCACACAUUAGGUGGUGGUUGGUUCUUGUUCGUGUGAAUCAUCUAUAAGGAAGAAGGAGUGCUAUAUAAAAAGUCAACUCAGUCGAAGGAACCAUUCUCUCGUCUUCAAAGACAGAAACAGAGAUAUUGGGAGUAUGAAUCUGAAAAUGGCGUCACUUUUUCCAUCGAAAAAGCUCUCUCCUUUUGUUAAUUUUUCAGUGUUUGAUAUACGUCAAGCCGGCGGAUGUAAAGUGACGAAUUCAUUCAACAAUCUGGGCAAUGGCACUCAGAACUUUGCUAAUGCCAAAAUCAUGCUUACUGGAUGCUGUUGCUGUUGCUGUACCGAAUUUGAGUUGCAUGGUACUGUAUCUCCCAAUCGGACGUCCACAAAAUCCCCUCCACUUCUAAAUCACCGUACGCCAACUACGUUUUUAGAUUCUCCAUAACUUUCCGUUGUAGACGACAAAGACACUCCUGCAACGGAAGCUUCUUCCACCACCGGGUCCAAAUUCGGUGAUGUCUUUCACCAGGCCUCAAGUGUGUAUGGGGAACAGAAUCUUCAUAUGUUCUUACGAGCUGGUGCUGUAAUUCACUUACGUUGAAGCUAUACGCAUGAUACAAAGAAAUUAAGGAUAAAAGUUAGAAACAAACCAAGUUCUCUUGGGUCUUAACAGAUGAGGUUCUUAAGGAUUUGGCCACUUAAUUUCCACGUUUGCGAAAGGUUCAAAAGAAGACAGUCCCCAUUUGGAUACUAUACGGUGGGGGAAUUUCUAAUUUUGAACUGGAUUGCACUCUCCUCAGACUCCCUGGAGCUGUUUUGUGCCAGUUAAAGUUUGAUCCUCAAGUAACUAAAAAUUCAGUUCUUAAUGCUUAUGCUCAACGUAGUACAUUAAGUAAUUCACCUGUAAGUACUUUCUUCCACCUUAAACUCCUUAAUCUCUUAUCUCAGACAUAACAACUGAUUGGCACCUUGGUCGUGUGAACCAAUGAAGUUCUCUUUACUGUGAACCAGUUAUGCAUUUGACUCAUUGUCUGUUUUAGUAUAUACCUGAAAAUCCAGGUUGCUACACACAAUAUAUAAGAUUUAUGGAAUAGAAGGUGUUUGAUAGUUCUUCCUUUAUUAAGGCAUUAUGCGUGAGUGGUUUAGGUUGUGGUAUGAUCGUUUCCCUUAUGAAUUUCUUUUUCCUCCAUUCCCGUGGUAAUGGUCAAGAUAGUUCUGUUUUCCCCUGCAUUACUUUUCUUUAAGUAUUGUCUCGAUCGAGAGUACUCACUUGCUAAUCGUUUUAUAUUUGAUGUUUCAGGAAGCCAAAGUAUCGGAGAAGGUGGCAUAGUAAACUCAUUCAACAAGGAAAGGGACGGCACGCAAAACUUGUUCAAUGCAACAAUCAAAAUUGGAGGCAAAGCGGGUAUGAUAGCAAGCUCGUUCAACAACAAGGGUGACGGCAUCCAGAACUUCAGCAAUGCCACAAUCAUAAUCAUCACCGGCUGUUGUUGUCGCUCACUUUAUUUCCAUGGUAUCAUAUUUUCCUGUUUCUUCCUUAGAGCCCUUCUUGCACUACUGCUUCUCCUAACCAGAGAUCAGCAUCCGGCAACGAUAUUGGAUUCGACUCGGUCCAAUGCUGAUGUCAAAUUCCCUUCAAAGGGAACCUCCACUCGCCAAUACUACUCCGUCGUCAUUCUCCAUUAUCGCGUCUGCUACCAUGUCUUUGUCUUCUGCAAUGGAACAUUCGUUCAUCACAAGAUCCGAUUUUCGCGAGAUCUUUGAAGGCAAAGUAUUGUAAACUCAUUCAACAAUGAAGGCAGUGGGUUACAGGACUUGAGCAAUUCAAUAAUCACAGUUGGAAGCUGUAGCUGUAUCUCAACUUCUGUGCGACUGAAGAAGACUCAUCAAACUGGUUUGGUGAAACAAAAAUAUUGAAACUUGAAAGAGGCCAUAAUGUUUCCAAACAAGUUCUUGACUGAAUAACCCUUUGGAAAACUAAAUAAGUAGCCAUUAGCCAAUAGAUUGUUGAUUGUUGAUUGCGUUUGAACUUGGUAAUUGAGUGGUUCCCCAGAAGAAAGGACCAAUUUGUAUUUUGAUCAUGUAAAUAUGGACAACCUUGGUUGAUUCCACUACUUCUUUGGUCUGCUGAGUGCUUCUGCCACAAUGGUUUGUUGUCAAAGUCAAUUAUCGAAUACUAUUCUUGUGCUCUUCAAGUUGGGUUACAUAUUUACUAAAUUGUAUGUUUUAAAAAAAA
Molecule: long non-coding RNA, 2277 nt
Organism: Vigna unguiculata (cowpea)
Lineage: Eukaryota; Viridiplantae; Streptophyta; Magnoliopsida; Fabales; Fabaceae
Source: RefSeq, a predicted model, not a curated record